This 253-nucleotide ribosomal RNA is filed under the name uncultured bacterium. RNAcentral describes it as "partial 16S ribosomal RNA". It matches the Rfam family "Bacterial small subunit ribosomal RNA", at positions 524 to 776 of the family's 1533-position model. The record is from RNAcentral.
UACGGAGGGUGCAAGCGUUGCUCGGAAUUACUGGGCGUAAAGCGCGUGUAGGCGGUCUCGUGUGUCUGGCGUGAAAGCCCCGGGCUCACCCCGGGAAGUGCGUUGGAAACUGCGAGACUAGAGUUCCGGAGAGGAAGGUGGAAUUCCAGGUGUAGCGGUGAAAUGCGUAGAUAUCUGGAAGAACACCGGUGGCGAAGGAGGCCUUCUGGACGGUGAUUGACGCUGAGACGCGAAAGCGUGGGGAGCAAACAGG